GCGGUGCGGGAGCGGAGCUGGAGCUGGGCUGGCGGGCGGGUGGGCUCCCCGCGGCCGGCCGCGCUCGCUGCCGCCUUCCCCUGCACGCACGCACUUCGCGGAACAAGGAACAGGCAUUUGUGACACUUCAUGUUCCACACCCCGACCAGUGUGUGAGGAACAAUGUCUCCAGGCACUUUCUGCCCUGCACGGGUGGGUCCAUGCCACCAGAAGAACUCAGAGGAUUGUACAUCCAGACAUAGGAAGAGAAGUUGUCUUCAGUGGAAGAAGGAAUAAGGGUGAAGGUCCUCAAGAUCCUGUGAAAUAGUCCUGGCAGAAGCACCCGGCUGCACACCUGGAGCAGGCCAUGGGCAGCAGGAAGAGUGUAGCACCCUGACCAGGCACCUGCACUCCAGUCAAGCACAGGGAUGUCGGAUGCAGCAUGCAGGGGCCUGUGUGGGGGCUCUGUUUUCCUGAUAACAAACUUCACUUGGAACCAUCUUCCUCUUUUUUUCCCCACACACAUCAAAAGAAACCAAACCAACUCAGAAAUCUGAGUUUGUCAUUUGAUCAAGUGAAUUCAGCAUAGAACUGUAACACAGCAUUGCUUUGAAUGGAUGUUUAGUUGUGAUUUUCUGGCUUCUUAAGGUUUGACAGAAACUAUUGGUUUUAUUAAUGUUGUAAUAAAGGUUUAUUGUUCCAUCC
Long non-coding RNA from Melopsittacus undulatus (budgerigar), 684 nucleotides. RefSeq lists it as uncharacterized. The record is from RefSeq and is a predicted model, not a curated record. The transcript has 2 exons. NCBI's taxonomy places the organism in Eukaryota, Metazoa, Chordata, Aves, Psittaciformes, Psittaculidae.